CCUACGUGAGGCAGCAGUGGGGAAUAUUGCGCAAUGGGCGAAAGCCUGACGCAGCGACGCCGCGUGAGGGAUGAAGGUCUUCGGAUCGUAAACCUCUGUCAGCAGGGAAGAACGGUCACUGUGCUAAUCAGCAGUGAAUUGACGGUACCUGCAAAGGAAGCACCGGCUAACUCCGUGCCAGCAGCCGCGGUAAUACGGAGGGUGCGAGCGUUAAUCGGAAUUACUGGGCGUAAAGCGCUCGUAUGCGGUAUGUCAAGUCAAGGGUGAAAUCCCCGCGCUCAACGUGGGAACUGCCUUUGAAACUGGCAAACUGGAGUGUGUGAGAGGAUAGUGGAAUUCCAGGUGUAGGAGUGAAAUCCGUAGAUAUCUGGAGGAACAUCAGUGGCGAAGGCGACUAUCUGGCACAUAACUGACGCUGAGGAGCGAAAGCGUGGGUAGCAAACAGGAUUAGAUACCCCAGUAGUC
This 465-nucleotide ribosomal RNA is filed under the name uncultured bacterium. RNAcentral's name for it is "partial 16S ribosomal RNA". It matches the Rfam family "Bacterial small subunit ribosomal RNA", at positions 338 to 795 of the family's 1533-position model. The record is from RNAcentral.